This is a long non-coding RNA of Dreissena polymorpha, 188 nucleotides long. RefSeq lists it as uncharacterized. The record is from RefSeq and is a predicted model, not a curated record. The transcript is spliced from 3 exons. Lineage: Eukaryota; Metazoa; Mollusca; Bivalvia; Myida; Dreissenidae.
CGAUAGCUUCUAGUAUAAUAAUUUCCUGUUUCGAUUGCAUUAUUGGUUUACGGAGAAAUGGACUCUAAGAAACUGGCUGAUGUUAAAGAAAUUAAAAAUACAACGAAGUUCAUUUUGAAUCGACUUAACACAUUAACAGGUUGUGGAGAGGGCUGCACGUGUGGCCUAGAACUCGAAGAUCUCAAGAA